GACGAACGCUGGCGGCGUGCUUAACACAUGCAAGUCGAACGGAAAGGCCCUGCUUGCAGGGUACUCGAGUGGCGAACGGGUGAGUAACACGUGGGUGAUCUGCCCUGCACUUCGGGAUAAGCCUGGGAAACUGGGUCUAAUACCGGAUAGGAGCCAUUUUUAGUGUGAUGGUUGGAAAGUUUUUUCGGUGUAGGAUGAGCUCGCGGCCUAUCAGCUUGUUGGUGGGGUAAUGGCCUACCAAGGCGGCGACGGGUAGCCGGCCUGAGAGGGUGGACGGCCACAUUGGGACUGAGAUACGGCCCAGACUCCUACGGGAGGCAGCAGUGGGGAAGAUUGCACAAUGGGCGCAAGCCUGAUGCAGCGACGCCGCGUGGGGGAUGACGGCCUUCGGGUUGUAAACUCAUUUCGCUAGGGACGAAGCUUUUUGUGACGGUACCUAGAUAAGAAGCACCGGCUAACUACGUG
This 465-nucleotide ribosomal RNA is filed under the name uncultured bacterium. Its description in RNAcentral is "partial 16S ribosomal RNA". It matches the Rfam family "Bacterial small subunit ribosomal RNA", at positions 28 to 507 of the family's 1533-position model. The record is from RNAcentral.